RNAcentral lists this ribosomal RNA (497 nucleotides) under uncultured bacterium. Its description in RNAcentral is "partial 16S ribosomal RNA". It matches the Rfam family "Bacterial small subunit ribosomal RNA", at positions 28 to 507 of the family's 1533-position model. The record is from RNAcentral.
GAUGAACGCUGGCGGCGUGCCUAAUACAUGCCAGUCGAGCGAACGGACGAGAAGCUUGCUUCUCUGAUGUUAGCGGCGGACGGGUGAGUAACACGUGGAUAACCUACCUAUAAGACUGGGAUAACUUCGGGAAACCGGAGCUAAUACCAGAUAAUAUUUUGAACCGCAUGGUUCAAAAGUGAAAGACGGUCUUGCUGUCACUUAUAGAUGGAUCCGCGCUGCAUUAGCUAGUUGGUAAGGUAACGGCUUACCAAGGCAACGAUGCAUAGCCGACCUGAGAGGGUGAUCGGCCACACUGGAACUGAGACACGGUCCAGACUCCUACGGGAGGCAGCAGUAGGGAAUCUUCCGCAAUGGGCGAAAGCCUGACGGAGCAACGCCGCGUGAGUGAUGAAGGUCUUCGGAUCGUAAAACUCUGUUAUUAGGGAAGAACAUAUGUGUAAGUAACUGUGCACAUCUUGACGGUACCUAAUCAGAAAGCCACGGCUAACUACGUG